RNAcentral lists this ribosomal RNA (208 nucleotides) under uncultured bacterium. RNAcentral's name for it is "partial 16S ribosomal RNA". It matches the Rfam family "Bacterial small subunit ribosomal RNA", at positions 524 to 727 of the family's 1533-position model. The record is from RNAcentral.
UACGUAGGGCGCAAGCGUUGUCCGGAAUUAUUGGGCGUAAAGAGCUCGUAGGCGGUUUGUCGCGUCUGGUGUGAAAACUCAAGGCUCAACCUUGAGCUUGCAUCGGGUACGGGCAGACUAGAGUGCGGUAGGGGUGACUGGAAUUCCUGGUGUAGCGGUGGAAUGCGCAGAUAUCAGGAGGAACAGACCGCAUGGCGGAAGGCAGGAU